AUUGAACGCUGGCGGCAUGCCUUACACAUGCAAGUCGAACGGUAACAGGUCUUCGGAUGCUGACGAGUGGCGAACGGGUGCGUAAUACAUCGGAACGUGCCCAGACGUGGGGGAUAACGAGGCGAAAGCUUUGCUAAUACCGCAUACGAUCUAAGGAUGACAGCAGGGGGCCGAAAGGCUUGGGGCGUUUGGGGCGGCCGAUGGCAGAUUAGGUAGUUGGUGGGAUAAAAGCUUACCAAGCCGACGAUCUGUAGCUGGUCUGAGAGGACGACCAGCCACACUGGGACUGAGACACGGCCCAGACUCCUACGGGAGGCAGCAGUGGGGAAUUUUGGACAAUGGGCGAAAGCCUGAUCCAGCAAUGCCGCGUGCAGGAUGAAGGCCUUCGGGUUGUAAACUGCUUUUGUACGGAACGAAAAGGCUCUGGCUAAUACCUGGGGCACAUGACGGUACCGUAAGAAUAAGCACCGGCUAACUACGUG
RNAcentral lists this ribosomal RNA (482 nucleotides) under uncultured bacterium. RNAcentral describes it as "partial 16S ribosomal RNA". It matches the Rfam family "Bacterial small subunit ribosomal RNA", at positions 30 to 507 of the family's 1533-position model. The record is from RNAcentral.